Long non-coding RNA from Rhipicephalus sanguineus (brown dog tick), 1157 nucleotides. RefSeq lists it as uncharacterized. The transcript has 5 exons. The record is from RefSeq and is a predicted model, not a curated record. Lineage: Eukaryota; Metazoa; Arthropoda; Arachnida; Ixodida; Ixodidae.
CCUUCCUAGCCCGUAUAGUUCUGCGUUCGUGUGAUCGUCGUGCCGAGUUCUGUUUGUGCGGUCGACUUUUAACGCGCUGCCUCGCAUUGUGUGUAUUGUGUGUUGUAUUUCGUGGUUACUGACGUAAGCGCAACUAUACGCGGUACCAGGCAAAUAGUCACCAGAUGCCGACCGUGCGACUUCAAUCUCUGCGACUGCUUUGUUCGGUGUGACCGACGGACGCGAUUCAUAGUUUUGAAGAACACCUUCAAAUGUUUCCGCACGUCAGUGAGUAGCAGCGCCGCAAUCCUUUGUCGACGACGCGUUCUGUCGCCCUGGAAAAUGCUUUGACGCUCGGGUACGGCCGGUAGCUCGGCGAUUCCUCGCUUGGCGCACCAUUGGAAACCGGCGGUCAUCUAGCAGUGUACGCUGCCAGCUUUUUUGCAACGUACUGCAGGUAGCAAACAGCAGUGCCUCGACAAACAGUGGAGUGCUGACCAUGCAGUCCAGAAGGUGGCUGAGGCAAGUAUGCUAUAGGAGGUGCUUAUUCAGGCAGAAGAAAUAAGCAUCUGUAGCCAACGUAAAGGAAGCAUCUUCAAAAAGCAGUGCUACAAGGAUGUGAGCAGCAGUUUCCCUUUAACGAACGGGUCAAAUUCAUGGAAGCCACGUGCCUGCUGCUUCUGGCCUACACAAACAUGCAGCCACCAUAGUAAAGUUCUUGCAAAGACAUUCUACACGAACUUGCCCAAAGGCGGAAGGAAGGCACGCACAGAUGGACGCACACAGAUCAUGGGGCUGCCGUAGAAGCUGUGAAUGAGCAUUAACCUACGUACAGAAAGGAGCGAAGUGGAGCUGUCCAUGGGCCGUGCACACAAUUUCAUAAGCAGGCUUGCAACACUUUUGACAAAUAUGUUCCUGAAUACAUCUGCCAAAGUGGCAUUUAAAGAAGCAUGUAGUAGUGUACUUCACUGUUUAUUUGGCAUGAAGCAGCAGGUAUGCUUCCGUCAUCAGCAAGUUCACACAGUACAGUGCAUCUACACAUGGCAUGCUACCCCCACAUCUACCAGCUCGGGAUGUGUAGCUUGAUUGUAAAAUGUUUACUUUGACUUAACACAACAAUUAUUAACAAAAUGACAUGAAAGUUUUGCCAUCUAUGCAGGCGACAUUCUCAGUAUACG